AGAUGGCGACCGGCGCACGGGUGAGUAACACGUAUCCAACCUGCCGAUAACUCGGGGAUAGCCUUUCGAAAGAAAGAUUAAUACCCGAUGGCAUAAUUAGACCGCAUGGUCUUAUUAUUAAAGAAUUUCGGUUAUCGAUGGGGAUGCGUUCCAUUAGGCAGUUGGUGAGGUAACGGCUCACCAAACCUUCGAUGGAUAGGGGUUCUGAGAGGAAGGUCCCCCACAUUGGAACUGAGAUACGGUCCAA
Molecule: ribosomal RNA, 247 nt
Filed under: uncultured bacterium
Lineage: Bacteria
Description: partial 16S ribosomal RNA
Rfam family: Bacterial small subunit ribosomal RNA
Source: RNAcentral